Molecule: ribosomal RNA, 100 nt
Filed under: uncultured bacterium
Lineage: Bacteria
Description: partial 16S ribosomal RNA
Source: RNAcentral
CCUUCGGGUUGUAAACUCCUGUCAUUUGAGAACAAGGGGCCGGAAGUAACUACUUCGGCCUUGAUAGUAUCAGAAGAGGAAGGGACGGCUAACUCUGUGC